RNAcentral lists this transfer RNA (77 nucleotides) under Candidatus Methanolliviera hydrocarbonicum. RNAcentral describes it as "tRNA-Tyr". It matches the Rfam family "tRNA". Rfam says of the family: Transfer RNA (tRNA) molecules are approximately 80 nucleotides in length. Their secondary structure includes four short double-helical elements and three loops (D, anti-codon, and T loops). Lineage: Archaea; Methanobacteriati; Methanobacteriota; Candidatus Methanoliparia; Candidatus Methanoliparales; Candidatus Methanollivieraceae. The record is from RNAcentral.
CCCGCCUUAACUCAGCCUGGUAGAGUGCGCGGCUGUAGACCGCGAUGUCCCCGGUUCGAAUCUGGGAGGCGGGACCA